RNAcentral lists this ribosomal RNA (581 nucleotides) under uncultured bacterium. Its description in RNAcentral is "bacterial SSU rRNA". It matches the Rfam family "Bacterial small subunit ribosomal RNA", at positions 338 to 919 of the family's 1533-position model. The record is from RNAcentral.
CCUACGGGAGGCAGCAGUAAGGAAUAUUGGUCAAUGGGCGCAAGCCUGAACCAGCCAUGCCGCGUGCAGGAAGACGGCCCUAUGGGUUGUAAGCUGCUUUUAUCAGGGAAUAAACCCCCGCUCGAGAGCGGGGCUGAAGGUACCUGAGGAAUAAGCAUCGGCUAACUCCGUGCCAGCAGCCGCGGUAAUACGGAGGAUGCAAGCGUUAUCCGGAUUCAUUGGGUUUAAAGGGUGCGCAGGCGGAUUGGUAAGUCAGGGGUGAAAUCCCACAGCUCAACUGUGGAGCUGCCUUUGAUACUGUCAGUCUAGAGUAUAGUUGAAGUUGGCGGAAUGUGUCAUGUAGCGGUGAAAUGCUUAGAUAUGACACAGAACACCGAUCGCGAAGGCAGCUAGCUAAGCUAUAACUGACGCUCAUGCACGAAAGCGUGGGGAUCAAACAGGAUUAGAUACCCUGGUAGUCCACGCUGUAAACGAUGAUUACUCGAUGUUGGCGAUACACAGUCAGCGUCUGAGCGAAAGCAAUAAGUAAUCCACCUGGGGAGUACGAUCGCAAGAUUGAAACUCAAAUGAAUUGACGGGGA